RNAcentral lists this long non-coding RNA (416 nucleotides) under Ananas comosus (pineapple). RNAcentral's name for it is "long non-coding RNA (ACOM_LNC000346)". Lineage: Eukaryota; Viridiplantae; Streptophyta; Magnoliopsida; Poales; Bromeliaceae. The record is from RNAcentral.
GAUUGAGCUGUUCGUUUGAUGAUCUUAUUAGUCCACCUUGGAUUCGAGAAAAGUGCUCCUUGAAGGACUAACGAGUCAAUAAGAUGAUGACACGUUAGGGCAAAUUUUAUGAAAAAAUGCUUUUUAUACAUCCAAAAAAGAGUGCAUUUUACACCCGUAAUUCUAGAGCUGAUAAAAAUUAAAUUGAUUUUUAAUAAAAUUUUAAAAAAUUAAUUUAAUAAGAAUGAUCUUAAAAUGGAGUGGGUGUAAGAUAUACAUCCCAUUUUAGAGUGUACCUGUAGCAUAUGUAUGUGAAUUGUUCAAAGUCGUGCGCCUUCCGAAUUAUCGAAAUGAAAGUAUUUGCAGUAAUGAAUCUAUCAAUGUAUUUUAUGGUGGUCCUAAUUUAUUAAUACAGUAGAUUUUGUAUUUUUUUAGAU